ACCCUCCAGCAUUUCUGCUUCCAGGUAAAACCUGCACGUGUGAGGAAUGUGUGGCAUUGUAAUGUCAGUCCUCCCUUCAGUUGCUGUCACUUGAAAGAAAAUGUGUUUGUUUAACAAACAUAAAUUGAGUGCCUACUGUGUACCCACACUUCUAGAUCCUGCUGUUGCUGCAGCCACAGCUGUGAUUAGGGCAAGUCUCAGCUCCCCUGGAGUGAGUGCUCCUGUGGGCCAUCAGGUGACAUGGGGACAGAUGCCACAGGGGAGUGUAGAGGAGGGGCCAGGGAGCGCUGUGGGAGCGAGGCUCUCUGAGAAGGCGAUGCGUGAGCCAAGGCCCAGGGUUGGGGUGGGGUGGCACCUGGGUGAGUGGAUCAGGUAGGGAGGCAGCUGGGCUGGCAUGGGAAUGAGGCAGGAGGCCCAGCCAUGGGGAACUGGAGGUCCUGCCUUUUUGAGACGGAAGCCACUGAACAGGUGAGGACUGAAGUUUAGAGUUUGGAUGGUUUACUGCCUUUGAUUGGCACACAGCCGCCAGUGUGUGUGCGUUGUGUGUGUGCAAUGGUGAGGCCACUGUGCACCCGGUGGCUGGCUUCUCAUGAGUUUAACACACACUCACCACACCAGUCAGCCCUCACGUCUUUACCCUGGAUCCUUUUCGAGAAAGGAUCUGGAAAGUAAACAUUUUAGACUUUGAGGGCCACAGUCACUGUCCAUGUUCCUCUCUGUGGUUGUCCUGCCAGACACACACCAUGAGUUUACAAAGACAGGCGGUGGAUGGAUGUGGCCUGGGGCCUGUUUGCCAAUGCCAGCCCCAGAAAAUAAAACUUAUGUUUGCAUAAAUACCUAUACACAGAUAUUUCUACCCAGGCAUAAUCACCAAGUGCUGGAAGCAACACAAGCGUCCUUCAAUGGUGAACGGAUGGCAGGGCCCCCAGAAGACCACAGGAAAGUCGUGUAGAGAAGACGUUCAGAUGGGGCGUCAGAUGUGGGGGAGAACGAGCUGGAGAUGGACACGGACAUGGAGGUGUGGAUGGCCCUGGGGAGGCCCCCUGGCAGCUGGUGGAUGGCAGGAGCGGCGUGGACAGCAGGAGCAGCAUGAACUGCAGGAGCGGCACGGGAUAAGAGAGAUCCGGCAGGCACCGGGAGCCGGCUGGCAGGUACCUCUGAGCACACUGGAUUAAUUCCCAGGGCGGCCGUCACAGCAGUGACGUUGGCACUGACCACCCACGGAAAGGACAGAAUUUAAAGAGGCUGAGUUUUUCAUCUCUCUCUGCUGUUUUCUCUCUGGUUUCCCUUUUACCAUUUUGACAAGUCCCACCAUACUCAGUUCCAGCCUGGGACACACACUUGUGAUUGCUAACGGGUGGAAAGUUGCACGUGCCAUGUUGUGUUGCUGACACCAAAGGCAAAAGCCCAGGUCCUGGCCCCAGGUUAGGCCCACACAUGCCUGGGCUGUCCCAUCUCGGGGACUCCCUGGUCAGAGCUGAAAGUCUUCGGGCUCUGUCUCCCUCGCUGGGGAGUGUGUCCAGCCCUGUCCUCUAGCACUGGGCCCCUGUCUCCCCAGACACGGCCCCCAGGGCGGAGGGGACCACAGACAUUCUGAGGUGAACUCUCCUCCGUGUUGGAAAUAUGAAAAAUAAAAAGGGAAGGGCUGGGGGAAGAGACGGGGCAUUGUUUACUUCCUCAAAAUUCCAUGUUAACGAGUUCCCGCUGAAUUCUCUGGUUAAGCAGAGAACGGCUGUGCAGAGCGUGAGCUGUGAGCCCCAAGCUGGUCCUCCUGUGGGCCCCGCAGCGCUGGAGCUGACCUCUCACCAAGGGUCCCUUUGUAACUUCCUGUGACUGAUUCUUUAAUGGCAUCUAAUGAUGAUGCAAGGAAGCUGCCAGCUGGGAGUUUCGGCACCACUGAUUGCCCCCAUAAGGAGCCAGUGGGAUGGACACCAGCUCCUGCCCCUUGCCUGAAACAUCCCUGCAGACCCUCGGCCUGCACCGGUGCCCCACUGAAGGCCCCCACCUACGGUUCUGCCCACACACCAGGGUCUCUCCAGCUCACCACCACCCAGGGUCCUUCCAGCUCUCCUCCCCCAGGGUCCUUCAAGCUCUCUCCCUCCAGGGUCCCUCCAGCUUUCCCUGCUCUAGGUUCCCUCCAGUUCUCCUCCCCCAGGGUCCCUCCCGCUUCCCCACUUAACCUCCCCGGGGUCCCUGCAGCUCGGGCUUCCGCCCCCGGGGUCCCUCCAGCUGGGUUUUCUCUUGCACCCUGGGGCCUGGUGCUCCACCCCUCUCUGUCCACUUCCUGCCUCCAGGCUGUGUCCGAGCUCUGUGCACCUGACACCCACGUCUCCCCUCUUCAUCUGUCUAAAGCCUACCUGUGCUUUCACAGCACGUCUCAAAUAUCAUUUCAAAUGUCAAAUAACAGAAUGAUCUUUUAAAAAUAUAAAUCAGAUCAUGUCAUUUGUGCUUGAAACCUUUAAUGGUUUCUGAUUGCACAGUAAACCCAAGGCCCUUCUCUGGGGUCCAGGUCCCUGCCCACCUCAGUCCUUGUCCCCCUGUCCCCUUCACCACCAAGUUUAUCCCUGCCCUAGGGAUGUGGCACUUGCCAUAGCUUUGCAGGAAUGGCUUUCCCUGGUUCUGCAUGUGGCAAACUCUGUCUUGACACCCACGUCUCAGUUUAAAUAUCACAGAAUCUGCAGGAGAGCUUCUGUGCCCCCGGAUCUGAGGCAGCCCCUUCAGGAGCAGAAUUACAGCCCUAAAGACGUCCGUGCCCCAGUUGCUGGCACCUCUACAGGAGCUGAAUUCUGCCAACGACCCACACAAGCUGGAAACAGACACCCCCAGGGCCUCUAGAAGGAAGGCAGCUGGCAGACUGGGGACCCCUAGAAAUGGUAGGAUAACACACUCGUGCAGUUUCAGCUGCUGAGCAUGUGGUUAUGGCAGCCACAGAAAAUGAAUACAGCCCAUUCGCUCUUUUUUUUUUUUUUUUUUUCCA
This is a long non-coding RNA of Homo sapiens (human), 2977 nucleotides long. RefSeq lists it as uncharacterized. The transcript is spliced from 4 exons. NCBI's taxonomy places the organism in Eukaryota, Metazoa, Chordata, Mammalia, Primates, Hominidae. The record is from RefSeq and is a predicted model, not a curated record.